UACGUAGGGUGCAAGCGUUAAUCGGAAUUACUGGGCGUAAAGCGUGCGCAGGCGGUUCUAUAAGACAGAUGUGAAAUCCCCGGGCUCAACCUGGGAACUGCAUUUGUGACUGUAGAGCUGGAGUACGGCAGAGGGGGAUGGAAUUCCGCGUGUAGCAGUGAAAUGCGUAGAUAUGCGGAGGAACACCGAUGGCGAAGGCAAUCCCCUGGGCCUGUACUGACGCUGAGGAGCGAAAGCGUGGGAGCAAACAGG
RNAcentral lists this ribosomal RNA (252 nucleotides) under uncultured bacterium. RNAcentral describes it as "partial 16S ribosomal RNA". It matches the Rfam family "Bacterial small subunit ribosomal RNA", at positions 524 to 776 of the family's 1533-position model. The record is from RNAcentral.